ACCCCAAACCAGCAGUAGCUAAAAAUAGCAGAAAAAUGCAAAACAUCAGGCUCACGAACAAGGUCAAGCGAUGCAAAGAACAAGUUAUUCCCAUUAAUAUUCGCGAUCGCCAAGAGAGAAACACGGUCGCGGCUCAGUGGGAAUUUUUCGUUCUUCACGAAUGCCUGAACCUGACAUGAUCGCAGUUCUCCCGGGUAAGUGCCCGUCCAAUAAGACACUGGAAAUCAGUUAUUGAACCCUCUUCUCCUCAUAAGUCAUUCUCUUUCUCCCUCACCCUUCGAAAAUCCCAUCACCCUUACCCACAAAGCAGAUUCUUCCCCUUUGCAUUGAAGGAAUUUGAGGGCUUAAUUUGAGGCAAGCCCUCUCUAGUCGCCUCUGUUCUCACCUCUAUUUUAUUUCUUUUCAAUUCAAGGUGAUUUUACAGGUAUAUCUUUUAUCCAUUGUUCUAUCAGGCUUCAGUAUGUUAUGAAAGUAUCAUCAUCUAAAAUCUCCUGAAACUCAAAGGAUUGAGUAUUUUUGUGAAAUUUGUUACUAAUCUGAAAAUUGGCUGAAAGCUAUGGCUUAGGAUGUGGCUUGAAUAUUGAUUCAAUUUGUCUGUGUGCUUGUUUGUUGGGUGAGGUUGGCUGAGAGGUUGAUUAGGUUGUAUUCUGUAAAAAUUUUGGGGUUUAGAUCCGAGCUUUAAUGCUGGGGAAUUUCUAUAAAGUCGAUGCCCACCGUGUGCUUGAUGAAAUGUCAGAAAGAAUUGUUUUUGGGUGAGGAAGAAGACCUUCGCAAUCGCGAUGCCCCAUUCCGCGAUCACGUAUGUCUAAUUUUUUUUAUAUGAAAAUUUCCCUUCACGAUCAUGACGUCCUUUUGACAAUCACAAUACUCUAUAUCUGCUGAAAACAAAAAUGUCUUCGCCAACGUGGUGCCUAUUUCUCAUUCACGAUUCUCUACCCUCCAUGCUGCCAAAAUAGUAGCCUUCCAGAUUUUGAUUUGUACUUGAGCAUAAAUGGCAUUGAGAAAUGAUGAAACUUGCAAUCACCUAUACCCCAUGCUUUGGAAGAGGAGUAUUUUGAUCGGGACAGAUUCAUAAUUACUGAAUGUGAAAGAAAAUAUGACAGAACCAUGUCACAGAGCAUCGUCAAGGAAAGGGGUAUCCAUGUCGACAAACUUGAAGCUAUGAUGCCAGAUUUUUUUAGAAUAUUGACUAGCAGUGGAUGAAUUUGCUUCACUCAUGAAUCAAUCAAAGUUAACUACAUAAUAGUUGGGUAAUUUUACGCAAAUGUCCUAAGAGCUGACUUCUAAGGGAAACUAUUUACCAUUGUUAGGGUUAAGCGCGUAAACAUUGGUCUGGAGGUACUAAAUGCACAUUUUGGACUUCCUAAUGUUGACAACAAGGUAUACAAAGCUAGAGCAAAGGAGAGGGAAAGCCAGUGGUUGGUAGAAAUGAUUCAUGAUGGGGUAACCCUGAUUUGGGAAAGAUUGCACAAAGGGGUUGAGUUUUCUGAAUUCAUAGCUGAAGCCAAAACUUGGUUGUCCAUAAUUGGUGCUAGAAUUAUGCCAUCUAUACAUGAGUCCGAGGUGACUUCUGACACGGCAUUGAUGAUUACUACUAUUAUAGAUAACUUACAUGUGAACGUGGGCCUACAUGUGGUGACUGAGACUGAUGAAGCAUGUAACAGGAGUUCUAAGAGUCUAUUCUUUACAUCAUUGAUUACUCAGUUGUUCUAUGAUGUUGGGGUUCUAAAAGACCCACAUGAUUCUGAGAAAGGCACAAACAAACCAAUUAAUCCCUUAAUCAGAAAGGGACCAAGUGGUGAGUACAAGAAGAGAAAGAUUGAUUUAUCAUCUUGUAACGACCCGACCAGUUGCUUUGUGUAAUUGCUCCUAGUUUCCCCUUUUUAUGCUUCACACAUGUAUUUUUAUGAUUUUAUGACUUGGGGGGUCGGUUAGUUUCGUUCUAGGAAGCUUUCGGGUUGAUUUAAACCCUUUGGUUGACUUAGAAGCUAAAAGUAGAAAUGUUUACCAAACUUUGACUUUUGUGAAAACAACCCCAGAACGGUAUUUUCAUGGCUGCGAUAUCUUUGUAUCAUGAUUUCGGACUUGGGCAUAUGCCCGAAAUUGAUAUCAGAAGUCCGAAGGUUGAUUCGUAUUGUUUUGCCGAAAUUAGGCAAUUUGAAUUUGAAAAGUUUGAUCGUAGGUUGAAUUUUAGCUA
Long non-coding RNA from Nicotiana attenuata, 2197 nucleotides. RefSeq lists it as uncharacterized. The transcript is spliced from 2 exons. The record is from RefSeq and is a predicted model, not a curated record. Lineage: Eukaryota; Viridiplantae; Streptophyta; Magnoliopsida; Solanales; Solanaceae.